GAUGAACGCUGGCGGCGUGCCUAAUACAUGCAAGUCGAGCGAACGGACGAGAAGCUUGCUUCUCUGAUGUUAGCGGCGGACGGGUGAGUAACACGUGGAUAACCUACCUAUAAGACUGGGAUAACUUCGGGAAACCGGAGCUAAUACCGGAUAAUAUUUUGAACCGCAUGGUUCAAAAGUGAAAGACGGUCUUGCUGUCACUUAUAGAUGGAACCGCGCUGCAUUAGCUAGUUGGUAAGGUAUCGGCUUACCAAGGCAACGAUGCAUAGCCGACCUGAGAGGGUGAUCGGCCACACUGGAACUGAGACACGGUCCAGACUCCUACGGGAGGCAGCAGUAGGGAAUCUUCCGCAAUGGGCGAAAGCCUGACGGAGCAACGCCGCGUGAGUGAUGAAGGUCUUCGGAUCGUAAAACUCUGUUAUUAGGGAAGAACAUAUGUGUAAGUAACUGUGCACAUCUUGACGGUACCUAAUCAGAAAGCCACGGCUAACUACGUG
RNAcentral lists this ribosomal RNA (497 nucleotides) under uncultured bacterium. RNAcentral's name for it is "partial 16S ribosomal RNA". It matches the Rfam family "Bacterial small subunit ribosomal RNA", at positions 28 to 507 of the family's 1533-position model. The record is from RNAcentral.